UCCGGCGCCGCACUAGGCACUG
Molecule: microRNA, 22 nt
Filed under: Oryza sativa (Asian cultivated rice)
Lineage: Eukaryota; Viridiplantae; Streptophyta; Magnoliopsida; Poales; Poaceae
Also listed under: 1 other name
Description: osa-miR1437a
Source: miRBase by way of RNAcentral